UGCCUGGGUUUUCAGAACUGCAUUACCUACAA
This 32-nucleotide non-coding RNA is filed under the name Rattus norvegicus (Norway rat). The record is from RNAcentral. Lineage: Eukaryota; Metazoa; Chordata; Mammalia; Rodentia; Muridae.